GAUGAAGAACGUAGCGAAAUGCGAUACGUAAUGUGAAUUGCAGAAUUCAGUGAAUCAUCGAAUCUUUGAACGCACCUUGCACCCUUUGGCUAUUCCGAAGGGUAUGCCUGUUUGAGUAUCAUGAACACCUCAACUCUCAUGGUUUGCCAUGAUGAGCUUGGACUUUGGGGGUCUUGCUGGCCUGUGGUCAGCUCCUCUCAAAUGGAUUAGCUUGCCAGUGUUUGGUGGCAUCACAGGUGUGAUAACUAUCUACGCUUGUGGUUUUCCACCAGGUAACCUUCAGCAAUGGGGGUUCGCUGGGGCUCAUAAAUGUCUCUCCUCAGUGAGGACAGCUCUUUGAACGUUUGAUCUCAAAUCAGGUAGGACUACCCGCUGAACUUAAGCAUAUCAAUAAGCGGAGGA
This 402-nucleotide unclassified non-coding RNA is filed under the name soil metagenome. RNAcentral describes it as "partial contains 5.8S ribosomal RNA, internal transcribed spacer 2, and large subunit ribosomal RNA". The stretch from base 1 to 121 matches the Rfam family "5.8S ribosomal RNA", at positions 35 to 154 of the family's 154-position model. The record is from RNAcentral.